GAUGAACGCUGGCGGCGUGCCUAAUACAUGCAAGUCGAGCGAACGGACGAGAAGCUUUCUUCUCUGAUGUUAGCGUCGGACGGGUGAGUAACACGUGUAUAACCUACCUAUAAUACUGGGAUAACUUCGGGAAACCGGAGCUAUUACCGGAUAAUAUUUUGAACCGCAUGGUUCAAAAGUGAUAGACGGUCUUUCUUUCACUUAUAGAUUGAUCCGGGCUGCAUUAGCUAGUUGGUAAGGUAACGGCUUACCAAGGCAACGAUGGAUAUCCGACCGGUUAGGGGGAUCGGCCACACGGGAACUGAGACAGGGUCCAGACUACUACGGGAGGAAGCAGUAGGGAAUCUUCCGCAAUGGGCGAAAGCCUGACGGAGCAACGCCGCGUGAGUGAUGAAGGUCUUCGGAUCGUAAAACUCUGUUAUUAGGGAAGAAGAUAUGUGUAAGUAACUGUGCAAAGCUUGACGGUACCGAAUCAGAAAGCCACGGCUAACUACGUG
This 497-nucleotide ribosomal RNA is filed under the name uncultured bacterium. RNAcentral describes it as "partial 16S ribosomal RNA". It matches the Rfam family "Bacterial small subunit ribosomal RNA", at positions 28 to 507 of the family's 1533-position model. The record is from RNAcentral.